This 84-nucleotide transfer RNA is filed under the name Candidatus Peribacteraceae bacterium. RNAcentral describes it as "tRNA-Val". It matches the Rfam family "tRNA". From Rfam's summary of the family: Transfer RNA (tRNA) molecules are approximately 80 nucleotides in length. Their secondary structure includes four short double-helical elements and three loops (D, anti-codon, and T loops). Further hydrogen bonds mediate the characteristic L-shaped molecular structure. tRNAs have two regions of fundamental functional importance: the anti-codon, which is responsible for specific mRNA codon recognition, and the 3' end, to which the tRNAs corresponding amino acid is attached (by aminoacyl-tRNA synthetases). tRNAs cope with the degeneracy of the genetic code in two manners: having more than one tRNA (with a specific anti-codon) for a particular amino acid; and 'wobble' base-pairing, i.e. permitting non-standard base-pairing at the 3rd anti-codon position. Lineage: Bacteria; Candidatus Peregrinibacteriota; Candidatus Peribacteria; Candidatus Peribacterales. The record is from RNAcentral.
GGGCGCCUAUCGGCCUAGGCCGAUGGUUAGAGUAUCUCGUUUACACCGAGAGGGUCAGGGGUUCGAAUCCCUUGGCGCCCACCA